UUACCCACAUCCGGCGGAGGGGGUCGUGAGGUUCUUGCAAAGGCAGCUUGGGGGAGGCUUCCAUCAAGAUGUCGGAAUAGAAGGACAGGGGAGAUCACCUCCUCUCACGGGUACAUCAAAAAUACAUCUGCAUCUGAAACAAUUCUCACAGAAUACCUGCUGAACGCUGGCAAAACAGCUCAAACUCUCCAAAUCACAAGAAAGAUCUCCACAUGAUCAGGACACCUGCCCCAGUAUUCUGAACAUAGCAGGUACUCAGUAAAGACGGAUGGGUUAAUUCAUGGAUUUAAAAGUCCCAAGAUGCAGCCCAACAUCACAGUCAAAGAAGAUGUGGGCCCAGGUGGUUGGACUCCGUUUCACAGAGCGUGUGUGGAAUGUAUGAGAGACCCUGACCAGGCAGACCUUUGCAGAAGCCAUUAACAUCCUGUAAACGGCAACAACCAGCAGAGCAACAAGGCCAUGAAUCUGAACGCGCUAGUCUAAGGUUCUGGCACCCCUCCCUGCUUCCUUUUACCCAGCUCAACAAUAUCCACAGACCGUUUCAUUUUUUUUUUUUUUUUUUGGUACGUGGGCCUC
Molecule: non-coding RNA, 576 nt
Organism: Delphinapterus leucas (beluga whale)
Lineage: Eukaryota; Metazoa; Chordata; Mammalia; Artiodactyla; Monodontidae
Source: RefSeq, a predicted model, not a curated record